UUAAUCUGCAAUGUUUUAUUUAGUUUUGACAGAAUGUAAUGCCAAUGCAUUGUGUGGAACUCAGUACUUUUCAACAUUGUUUUGUUAGCCCUGUUGCUUUAGCACUUUCAAUUAGCUGUAGUCACUGAUAUUUAACCUAUUCCCUCAGAAAGUUUAGAUUAAUUUUCUUUGCAUUGUACCGUUUCGUUUUGGAACAAUGCCUUCGUCCUCCCCAUGGUAAUUUUGAGUGACUGCCUUGCUCCUGGUGAUAUCCUCCAGACAUCUGGUGUAGGUCAGCUGCCCCCUGCUAUUUUAAUCCUGAUUGAGUGCUUAGUGCACAGCUCUGUGGAAUGUCUGUAUUCAAUGCCUCAGAGCUCCCUAUCCACCGUGUCACAGUUCAUUUAUUUUAGAGGCAGGAAAUGAUCCAAUACUAGCUCAUGGAUAACGAGGCCGAAUUGAUCAAGUAUACUCUCGAUUAGAUUGGUUACUUUCUUCUUUGCAUGCAUCUUCAGAGAUGAGAAUCUGCCUCACAUCAGCAGCAUCUGGCUGUACUUUCCAUUUGCAGGUCAGUGGGUCACACUCACAGGAGGCUAACAGAGACUCUUCGAGUGCCACCACUUCACCAAGGAGUACAGUGUAAUGGACCUAAAAAAUGUGGAGAGGAGGGUAGAGGAUGAUUCUGUUUCCAAUCUAAUGAACAACUGCUGGAAGGAGAAGCAACAGAAGGAAGGCUUGCUGUAUCAAGCUUGUUAUUUCGGAAAUAACCAAAGAGGUCCGGAGAUGGGAACCCCCGGUUGCACUAGGCUGUCUGAAAUCCAUUCUUCCUUGCACGGAUUAAGACGCCAUUUACUAUUAAUAUUGAUCACAUUGGUGAACGUAGAUCUAUGAGAACCAGUCCUGUGUUUGCCACAAGUGGAAUUUUCCCGGACUUCGACAUUCUGUCAGAUUCAUUAAUAAUGAGUCAGUGACAGUGAUUACAUUCUGCUGAAUCAGUGAACAUGUAAUAUGUAUUGAGUAAUAUGUGUCUGAGACACUGGCCUUUUUGCAUUCUGGGUAAACACACUUACCAGUGAGUGCAGAUUGGUUCUGAAUUAGACAGAGCAUUGGGUUAACAAUACUGGUACCACACAGGCUUUACAAGCACAAAAUGCACUUAUCACUUACAUAUCUGUUUAUUGAAGCUAUUGCACGUUAUUGCAUGUUUCCCCCUCACUUUCUAGAAAAUGCAUUCUGUAUCAGAUAUUAACUGUUUUUUUUCUCCAUAGGUUCUUUCACAAAUAAAAAAUGGAAGCCACAUUGAAGUUCAAGUCUUUAUAAAAGCAUUUUAAAAACACAUACCACACAUCCACUUUCUCUCUCUGGAGUAGCCAGAAUUUAUAAUCCACUACUGUUAAGGAAGAGCUU
Molecule: long non-coding RNA, 1383 nt
Organism: Megalops cyprinoides (Indo-Pacific tarpon)
Lineage: Eukaryota; Metazoa; Chordata; Actinopteri; Elopiformes; Megalopidae
Exons: 3
Source: RefSeq, a predicted model, not a curated record